GGUUAAGCGACUAAGCGUACACGGUGGAUGCCCUGGCAGUCAGAGGCGAUGAAGGACGUGCUAAUCUGCGAUAAGCGUCGGUAAGGUGAUAUGAACCGUUAUAACCGGCGAUUUCCGAAUGGGGAAACCCAGUGUGUUUCGACACACUAUCAUUAACUGAAUCCAUAGGUUAAUGAGGCGAACCGGGGGAACUGAAACAUCUAAGUACCCCGAGGAAAAGAAAUCAACCGAGAUUCCCCCAGUAGCGGCGAGCGAACGGGGAGCAGCCCAGAGCCUGAAUCAGUGUGUGUGUUAGUGGAAGCGUCUGGAAAGGCGCGCGAUACAGGGUGACAGCCCCGUACACAAAAAUGCACAUGCUGUGAGCUCGAUGAGUAGGGCGGGACACGUGGUAUCCUGUCUGAAUAUGGGGGGACCAUCCUCCAAGGCUAAAUACUCCUGACUGACCGAUAGUGAACCAGUACCGUGAGGGAAAGGCGAAAAGAACCCCGGCGAGGGGAGUGAAAAAGAACCUGAAACCGUGUACGUACAAGCAGUGGGAGCACGCUUAGGCGUGUGACUGCGUACCUUUUGUAUAAUGGGUCAGCGACUUAUAUUCUGUAGCAAGGUUAACCGAAUAGGGGAGCCGAAGGGAAACCGAGUCUUAACUGGGCGUUAAGUUGCAGGGUAUAGACCCGAAACCCGGUGAUCUAGCCAUGGGCAGGUUGAAGGUUGGGUAACACUAACUGGAGGACCGAACCGACUAAUGUUGAAAAAUUAGCGGAUGACUUGUGGCUGGGGGUGAAAGGCCAAUCAAACCGGGAGAUAGCUGGUUCUCCCCGAAAGCUAUUUAGGUAGCGCCUCGUGAAUUCAUCUCCGGGGGUAGAGCACUGUUUCGGCAAGGGGGUCAUCCCGACUUACCAACCCGAUGCAAACUGCGAAUACCGGAGAAUGUUAUCACGGGAGACACACGGCGGGUGCUAACGUCCGUCGUGAAGAGGGAAACAACCCAGACCGCCAGCUAAGGUCCCAAAGUCAUGGUUAAGUGGGAAACGAUGUGGGAAGGCCCAGACAGCCAGGAUGUUGGCUUAGAAGCAGCCAUCAUUUAAAGAAAGCGUAAUAGCUCACUGGUCGAGUCGGCCUGCGCGGAAGAUGUAACGGGGCUAAACCAUGCACCGAAGCUGCGGCAGCGACGCUUAUGCGUUGUUGGGUAGGGGAGCGUUCUGUAAGCCUGUGAAGGUGUGCUGUGAGGCAUGCUGGAGGUAUCAGAAGUGCGAAUGCUGACAUAAGUAACGAUAAAGCGGGUGAAAAGCCCGCUCGCCGGAAGACCAAGGGUUCCUGUCCAACGUUAAUCGGGGCAGGGUGAGUCGACCCCUAAGGCGAGGCCGAAAGGCGUAGUCGAUGGGAAACAGGUUAAUAUUCCUGUACUUGGUGUUACUGCGAAGGGGGGACGGAGAAGGCUAUGUUGACCGGGCGACGGUUGUCCCGGUUUAAGCGUGUAGGCUGGUUUUCCAGGCAAAUCCGGAAAAUCAAGGCUGAGGCGUGAUGACGAGGCACUACGGUGCUGAAGCAACAAAUGCCCUGCUUCCAGGAAAAGCCUCUAAGCAUCAGGUAACAUCAAAUCGUACCCCAAACCGACACAGGUGGUCAGGUAGAGAAUACCAAGGCGCUUGAGAGAACUCGGGUGAAGGAACUAGGCAAAAUGGUGCCGUAACUUCGGGAGAAGGCACGCUGAUAUGUAGGUGAAGUCCCUCGCGGAUGGAGCUGAAAUCAGUCGAAGAUACCAGCUGGCUGCAACUGUUUAUUAAAAACACAGCACUGUGCAAACACGAAAGUGGACGUAUACGGUGUGACGCCUGCCCGGUGCCGGAAGGUUAAUUGAUGGGGUCAGCGCAAGCGAAGCUCUUGAUCGAAGCCCCGGUAAACGGCGGCCGUAACUAUAACGGUCCUAAGGUAGCGAAAUUCCUUGUCGGGUAAGUUCCGACCUGCACGAAUGGCGUAAUGAUGGCCAGGCUGUCUCCACCCGAGACUCAGUGAAAUUGAACUCGCUGUGAAGAUGCAGUGUACCCGCGGCAAGACGGAAAGACCCCGUGAACCUUUACUAUAGCUUGACACUGAACAUUGAGCCUUGAUGUGUAGGAUAGGUGGGAGGCUUAGAAGUGUGGACGCCAGUCUGCAUGGAGCCGACCUUGAAAUACCACCCUUUAAUGUUUGAUGUUCUAACGUUGACCCGUAAUCCGGGUUGCGGACAGUGUCUGGUGGGUAGUUUGACUGGGGCGGUCUCCUCCUAAAGAGUAACGGAGGAGCACGAAGGUUGGCUAAUCCUGGUCGGACAUCAGGAGGUUAGUGCAAUGGCAUAAGCCAGCUUGACUGCGAGCGUGACGGCGCGAGCAGGUGCGAAAGCAGGUCAUAGUGAUCCGGUGGUUCUGAAUGGAAGGGCCAUCGCUCAACGGAUAAAAGGUACUCCGGGGAUAACAGGCUGAUACCGCCCAAGAGUUCAUAUCGACGGCGGUGUUUGGCACCUCGAUGUCGGCUCAUCACAUCCUGGGGCUGAAGUAGGUCCCAAGGGUAUGGCUGUUCGCCAUUUAAAGUGGUACGCGAGCUGGGUUUAGAACGUCGUGAGACAGUUCGGUCCCUAUCUGCCGUGGGCGCUGGAGAACUGAGGGGGGCUGCUCCUAGUACGAGAGGACCGGAGUGGACGCAUCACUGGUGUUCGGGUUGUCAUGCCAAUGGCACUGCCCGGUAGCUAAAUGCGGAAGAGAUAAGUGCUGAAAGCAUCUAAGCACGAAACUUGCCCCGAGAUGAGUUCUCCCUGAC
This 2793-nucleotide ribosomal RNA is filed under the name Escherichia coli. RNAcentral describes it as "partial 23S ribosomal RNA". It matches the Rfam family "Bacterial large subunit ribosomal RNA". The record is from RNAcentral. Lineage: Bacteria; Pseudomonadati; Pseudomonadota; Gammaproteobacteria; Enterobacterales; Enterobacteriaceae.